This 242-nucleotide ribosomal RNA is filed under the name uncultured bacterium. RNAcentral describes it as "partial 16S ribosomal RNA". It matches the Rfam family "Bacterial small subunit ribosomal RNA", at positions 92 to 334 of the family's 1533-position model. The record is from RNAcentral.
CGACCGGCGCACGGGUGAGUAACGCGUAUCCAACCUGCCCACCACUUGGGGAUAACCUUGCGAAAGUAAGACUAACACCCAAUGAUAUCUCUAGAAGACAUCUGAAAGAGAUUAAAGAUUUAUCGGUGAUGGAUGGGGAUGCGUCUGAUUAGCUUGUUGGCGGGGUAACGGCCCACCAAGGCAACGAUCAGUAGGGGUUCUGAGAGGAAGGUCCCCCACAUUGGAACUGAGACACGGUCCAA